This 502-nucleotide ribosomal RNA is filed under the name uncultured bacterium. RNAcentral describes it as "partial 16S ribosomal RNA". It matches the Rfam family "Bacterial small subunit ribosomal RNA", at positions 28 to 507 of the family's 1533-position model. The record is from RNAcentral.
GACGAACGCUGGCGGCGUGCUUAACACAUGCAAGUCGAACGGUGACGGAGCCUGCUCUUGCGGGCCCUGGUUGAGUGGCGAACGGGUGAGUAGCACGCGAGUAACCUGCCCCCUUCUUCUGGAUAACCGCAUGAAAGUGUAGCUAAUACGGGCUAUCCUGCGUCUGUCGCAUGAUGGGUCUGUGAAAGAUUGCGCCUUUGGGUGUUUUCGGUGGGGGAUGGGCUCGCGGCCUGUCAGCUUGUGGGUGGGGUGAUGGCCUACCAAGGCGGUGACGGGGAGCCGAGCUGAGGGGGUGGACGGUCAGACUGGGACUGAGACCCGGCCCACACUGCUACGGGAGGCAGCGGUGUGUUGGACUGCACAAUGGGCGCAAGUCUAAUGCAGCGACGCCGCGGGAGGAGUGGAUGGCGUCGGGUUGUAAACCUCUUGCGCAAGUGAAGCAGCCCUGCUACAUGUGGCUGUGUUGACGGUAGCUAGAGAAUAAGCGCCGGCUAACUACGUG